AUUGUACCCAAAAGUUCAUAAAUGGAUGUUUUCUCUCAAAUCAUAAUAGCUUGUAAUUCUCAAAAAAUAUUGCGCAGUGUUAUCUAUUCACAAGCAUAAUAUUAAACGGAUGAUUGUAACUGAGGAUUCUGAAGUAUUACAGUGUUGGUAAAUGGCGUCUUUUUUCCUUCGUCCUCUCUGCUCUCUUUUACCCACAUUCAUUUCUGUCCCCAUUCUCCCCUCUGGCUGUGUUUUAAAACCCAUUGGUCUGAUCUCUUCUGACAGCUGUUCUUUUUGGGAGGGGCCAUGCUGAACUUGUUAUAAUGAUGGGAGGUUAAAAGCAGUAGAUGAACAGUGCAAGGCUACAUAUCUCCUCAUUUUGCUUUCGUAGCCAUAAGUCAGAGACGGCAACCGACUCCGCAUAAAAAGCUUACAUAACCCUUCCAUCUGUUUGGGCUGAAAAUCCAUUGCAUCAGGCUGUAUGCACAAUGAUUAUUCGCCUUGGACGCCUCACACCUGGGUAUUUCCGUCUACUGCAGCUGCAGGUAUCUGGAGAAGUGGCCUCAGAGCCCAAAGACAGAUUAGUGAAUCAUCUGGCAUUUCUUCUUGCCCUCAUGGGUCUUGGACUAUCCUACUACAGUGUCCGCCAGAUGAUGCAAAAGUCCAGCUUUCAUGGUUCACAUGGACAUAGAUGAGACUACUGCAAGAUGGGGAGAGGAAAGUGCUUGAUGCUAUCCCAGGCAGACAGGUCAAUAAUGUAUGUAAAUAAAGAAUAGGAUUUAGGAUUCAUAUCUUCCUAGUUUUAGUGGGGAAGAUCAAGAAAGUGCCACAAGAAAACAGUAAUGUGCAAAAAGAAUGUAUAUGGAGGACUGAGAAUGUAGAAGAGCUAAAUAUACACAGCUUUCAUUGUUACAAAUUGCAAAGCAUGAUCUCUGAUAUCCCAGGACAGACAGAGGUCUUAUUUCCCAGAAAAGCAUACAGGUGUUUUUAUAAUUCAGAAUAAUAUACAGCAUUUAAGGUACGAGUAUAAGCUAUGUAUUCUUGUUUACAAAAUGUAAAUGGUGGACAGCCAAUUGGUAAAUCUAUGUAUGCAUAUUGCAAGUUAUCCAAGUGACUCUAUAACUGUAAAAGGAUUGUGUAUGAUGUUAAAAUGCAAAGAGGAAAAAUAGAUAUAGCUAACUAAAUAAAUCAUGAUUUACUAUGGCCAUUUUACUGAGAAAAAGACGACCUAUUAUUUAUAAUAUAGGAAUACACCCAGGCACUUUAUGUUCUUAUUAAUGUUUAAUAUUUAUAGCCAUAACCCUUUCCCCCCAGCUUCACAAAGAGAAUUCAAUGAUCUCAUACUUAGUUGUCGAUGUACGCUAGAUUUUCUUUUCUAUGCUUCAGUUAUAUCACAGUAUUAAAGGUUGCAUUAGACAUCCAAAUUUGCCACAAUGUUUCUCAUUUGUCUUUAACAUAUGAUGUAUUCAUUUAAUAUAAACUGUUGCUCUCAGAAUAAGCUUUCCUUUUGGAUCACUAGUUAUUAAUUGUCACAAUUGUUUUGUUCACACGCACUUGUUUUUCCUUGUCUGACAACAAAUAAAUAGUUGUACAACAGUA
Molecule: long non-coding RNA, 1578 nt
Organism: Rana temporaria (common frog)
Lineage: Eukaryota; Metazoa; Chordata; Amphibia; Anura; Ranidae
Exons: 3
Source: RefSeq, a predicted model, not a curated record